Molecule: non-coding RNA, 2002 nt
Organism: Nothobranchius furzeri (turquoise killifish)
Lineage: Eukaryota; Metazoa; Chordata; Actinopteri; Cyprinodontiformes; Nothobranchiidae
Source: RefSeq, a predicted model, not a curated record
UACCCGGAGAAAACCCACGCAUGCAUGGGGAGAACACGCAACUCCACGCAGAAAGGCCGCAGCCGAGUUUUGAUCCUGCGACCUUCGUGUUGCGAGGCUACAGUGCUAACCACUGCGCCACCAUGCAGCCAUGUUAUGGAUAGCUUUUCCAUGGGAACACAUAUUGUGGCACUGCAGGUGUUCAAAUGUUAUGGUUUCCAGCAGACUCUUGCAGACUUCAUGUCUGCAACGGUCUCACUCUGUGGGUGAAAGUUCUCAGCAACCCAGCUCUUGACCCAGCCGGGCAAAGUAUAACUUUUGGCACAGAAAACCCAUAUUUCCUCAUGUUACAGCAGUAACCAGUCUCCCCAGGGUCUCCUCCAGCCUCUGUCGGUCCCUCCUCAUCCGUGGUCACACAUCGCCCUGGAUUUUGUAACUGGUCUCCCCACAUCCAGAGGGUUCACUGUCAUACUCACCAUUGUCGACCGUUUUUCUAAAGCCUGCCAUCUGGUCCCACUGAUGUCAGUCCCUUCAUCUGCUGAAACCGCUGAACUGCUCGUGAAACAUGUUUUCUGCCUUCAUGGCCUGCCAACAGAAAUCCUGUCAGACCAAGGUUCCCAGUUCAUAUCCCGGGUCUGGACCGAGUCUGCCUCUAUCAGCAGGUGAGGUAACCUGGCAGUCAGCUGUUUGUGCUGCAGGUGGGCGUGGCAUGAGCUCCAGCUGAUCCUGAUUCCGCUAAUCAGAGGGCCAGGGGAUUUAAGGAGCGGUGUGACACAACUCCAGUGCCGGUUGAUACUCUCACCAGGUAUCGCGUCUCGCAUCCUCCAACCACGCCCGGAGUUGUUUUCCUCAUCCUGUCGCUCAGGAUCCUCUGGCCUCCACUCUCCAUCGCUCUGCCUGCCUGCCUGCCAACCUACAUGCUGGACUCACACAACUUUCUUCUUUUUUUUUUUCACACAACUCACACAACCUUCUCCUGUCCACCUCCUCUACAACCAUCGGACCUGCUGCCUCUCCUCCACUGAACUUCACCCAGUCCACCACAGCUAAGAACUGGUUUAAGACCGUAAGAACAAUUCAAACACCAAACUUAUUAUUCUCUUGGUUCUCUGGUUCCGCCUCGUAUUGUCAUGUGCCGGGGUGAGUACUCCUCUCAUUGUUUCCAUCUUUGAGUUGCUGUGUUUCAGGAGAGGGAGGCUCCAAUUGCAGCUCAUUGACAAUCAGCGGGUCCAGCUAUAAGAGGAGGAGGAGAACACAUCUCGACGCCGGAUGAUUAACUACAACUUGGAUUUUUGGAUCAUUGUGGACCUUACCUUGAUUCCUCAGGAUACUCCUUGGACUUCUGAAGCUCCUCUGGUUCUCCUGUGGCUCCCCAAUUACCUUUCCACAGUCCCGCUGGAUUACUCGCCUUCGCUGGAUAACUCACCUGUGCUUCAUAAAUCUUCUGGACGCAGCACUCACUGUUCGCCUCUCAUCCCUGCCGGUGUUGUGCCAUAAAUCGACUCGCUGCCAAAAACUGAUUAGCCACCGCGGGAUCGCGCACGGUUAGGGCAAUUGCAUUUCUAGACGAAAUUCUCCAGGAUUUCGCCCUAAAACUCAGCAUAUCUAGCAAUAUGGACAUUCAGAAAGCAGAGGUAACCUCUUCCAGUACUUAAACAGAUGUUUAUCGCGGAUAUUAGUUUUUCCAGUUCGGAAGUUGUUUUAAGUGUUGCUAUUUGUCUUAAACGUUCACAAUGAGGAUAUAUUAAUCCUUUUUGCAAUAUUUGCGAAUGAAAGACGGAUUGUGGUCAGAACUGGCUUUCUUUAUGCUACAGCCUUGAUACAAAAAAUAAAUAAACAAUGUAAAAUGGCGCCCUGUAUUGAAUGUAAACGUUGUAUAAAUGGAAAUAAACAUUUCUCCAGCGAUUUUGAUUUAUCCCCCCUUCCUUUCUUUAGUCUACUUGACAUGGAGCCACGGUUAACUAGUUUGGGGCACAUUUUUACUUGAAAAGUAGUAUUUAAACUGAUCAAGCUUUGGCUUUAA